UUGAAACCUUCCGGUAAGCCAGAAGGCCCAAA
RNAcentral lists this non-coding RNA (32 nucleotides) under Rattus norvegicus (Norway rat). The record is from RNAcentral. Lineage: Eukaryota; Metazoa; Chordata; Mammalia; Rodentia; Muridae.